Long non-coding RNA from Salvia splendens (bonfire salvia), 672 nucleotides. RefSeq lists it as uncharacterized. The transcript is spliced from 3 exons. The record is from RefSeq and is a predicted model, not a curated record. NCBI's taxonomy places the organism in Eukaryota, Viridiplantae, Streptophyta, Magnoliopsida, Lamiales, Lamiaceae.
UCAAUAAAUAUUUUUUUUAAUUUUUUUUAAAAUUUUUAAUUUUUUUUUGUCAUCUACGGCCUCGUUUGAUUGCCCUGAGAGUGCCGAGUAUGAUAGGGUUGUUCAAACCAGUUUUGCAUGAUAGUGCUAUGACAUACAUAUCCCAGUUCGAUGUUUGGUUGGCCUGCUAGUCCAUCUCAGAUAACUUAUACAGACUUUGAUUUGGCUUACAGAAACUACUGAUAGCAGCAGUAAUGGACAAAUAUGCCCUCAUUAACAUUUUCUAUUGAUGAAUUCAUCCUUGGAAACCCUAUGUCAUCCUCACCAAAAAUUAAACUGGCGCGCGCCCCUCACAUAUUUUCAGCUCACCCAAGGUCGCAGCUUGGUCGCGAUUUGAUUACCGCAAAUCAAAGGCCGAUCAUCGUGUCGAGUUCAACUAUACCGACGGAGGAGUGAAGAUGCAAAAUCAACAAAGUUGUCAUUUCAUGAUGCCUACCAUCACCUUGUUGAAGCAAUACAUACAUUUGCAAGUCACUGAAAGUGAAGAUGCUCGACAAAGUCCAGGAUGAAAGCUCUCGAGAAGAACAUCAAUGGAGGAUCAUCCUAGAUCACUGAACAAAUUCUGGAUCGGGUCAUGCCUCAUGUUCGUCUUCUGGUAUCUCAUAAUCUACGCCUACGAUUGGUCGUCUCUUU